UGCAUGGAUAAAAAAAUAGAAAGAGUAGGACUGACUGACAGAAAAAAAAGAAGAAAUCCACGGACUCCCAGCACUGCAUUUCAUUGACAUUGCGUGUAUGUGUUGUGUAUCCCUUCAGCCUUGAGUUUCACUUCACUUUCAAUUAACGCCACGUAUCUCUCCUUGCAUUGCAUUUCCCUCUCUCUUCGCCAAAACCAUGUCUCCUCCGUUGUCCUCCAUCAAACCCCAAGACUAUGCUCACAGCCCCGUUCACUACGCCGUCGCUUUAGGUGAUCACACUACUCUUUCUAGACUCGUUUCUGCUCUCCCUCGCCUCGCUGAUCCUUCUCAAAUCCACACCGACGCUGAUUCUAUCAUCCAGGAGCGACUUGCUGAUCAGAUCUCUGCUGUUCUCGACCGCCGCGAUGUUCCCUUCCGUGAGACACCUCUUCAUCUUUCUGUUAGGUUAAAUGACUCCUUUGCUGCCCGUACUCUUGCUGCUGCUGGCGCUGAUGUUUCGCUUCAAAACUCUGCUGGUUGGAAUCCUCUUCAGGAGGCUUUGUGUCGCCGGAACUCUGAAAUUGCAUCCAUUUUACUUCGUCUCCACCAUCGCUCUGCUUGGGCUAAGUGGCGCCGACGCCUGCCGCGUGUCAUUGCUGUGCUUCGCAGAAUGCGGGAUUUUUACAUGGAAAUUUCCUUCCACUUUGAGAGCUCUGUCAUUCCUUUCGUCGGAAAAAUUGCUCCUUCCGACACCUACAAGAUCUGGAAGCGAGAUGGAAAUCUCCGAGCGGAUACUUCACUAGCCGGCUUUGACGGCUUGAAGAUCCAGCGCGCAGACCAGAGCUUCCUCUUUCUCGGUGAUGGUGACCAAAUCCACAACAUUCCUUCAGGUUCUUUGCUUGUGCUGAACCGUGACGAUCGCAAAAUCUUCGACGCGUUUGAAAAUGCGGGAGCUCCGAUGAGUGAGUCUGACAUUGCGGGAUUCUGCUCCCAGACCAGCGUUUAUCGGCCUGGAAUGGACGUCACAAAGGCUGAACUGGUUGGCAGGACAAACUGGAGAAGACAAGAGAAGACAGAAUCCGUAGGAGAAUGGAAGGCUAAAGUCUAUGAAGUGCACAAUGUGGUUUUCAGUUUCCGGUCGCGCAAAGUUGCUCAUAGCGAAAACGAAGUCGCUGGGAGCGAGCAAGUCUUGCCUUUAGAGCUCGACGAAGAUGACGACGGAUUUUUAGUCGCGGAGAAUCCUAAUUUUGGGUUUAACAAUGAUAGGAGGAGGCACAGUAGUUUUGUGAGAGAGGAGAGAGAGUGGGUGACGGUGGGGAGGAAAAGUGUGGACAUAAUCCCGUCGUCAUCGUCGGCAAUGAUAGCGCCACAAAGAAGAUCGGCAGUUACGAUAGCGCCGGCGCCGCAGACGAAAGAGAAGGAAUACGUGAGGAGUCUGAGACCGUCAGUUUGGUUAACGGAACAUUUUCCCUUAAAGACAGAGGAGUUACUGCCAUUACUUGAUAUUUUGGCCAACAAAGUGAAGGCCGUGAGGAGGAUGCGGGAGUUGCUGACCACCAAAUUCCCGGCGGGGACGUUUCCGGUUAAGGUAAUUUUUUUUUGGUCAAAUCCGGUUAAGGUAAUUGUAUCAUUGAAAAUUAUGCAAUUAUUUUCCGGGCCCACAGUAUCGUAAUUGGGAGUGGGACCCUUUGCUUUUACGUCUUUUGAUGGUUUAUACAAGCAACGAACAAAACAAUGCGGUGUCUCCGACGAUUGGGAUUAGUGGAGAAGAAGCUUUUGUGGGGACCGCUGUUUGUGGUCGGUCUCUUUAAUCCUGUGGGACCCAAACCUUCCGAGGUUAGCAUGGUUUGGGCCACACUCUGGUUGCUUUAGUACCCCUCUGAAUCCUGUUUUUUCUGCAGAAAGUAGAAAGUAGAAAAUAAUCAAUGUGUUUUCUUUGUUGAAUUGACUUGGUCGUAAACUGUGUGAUUAACGUUGAUGAUUGGUUGUUUGUUUGGCUUGCUUUGGUGGGGCAGGUGGCAAUUCCGGUGGUCCCUACAGUGAGAGUAGUGAUAACAUUCACAAAGUUUGUUGAGCUACAACCAACUGAACAAUUCUACACACCACUUUCAAGUCCUAGACAUUUUGUUCACGGAGGAAGAGUAGCAUCAUCAUCAGAGGAUGAUCAGAAAUCAGAUACCCAUUAUUCAUUGCUGCCGUCCACCUCGUCAUCGAUCUCAACAGGGUGGCUGAGGCGAAACAACAGCCAUUCAGCUAGCAAGCAGCAUCAGCGUUGUCCUCCUCCUUCAAUGGGGCACCAAGAAGCGGAUCCAUUUGCUAUACCUAGUGGAUAUACGUGGACGAAUGCUGAUGAUAAGUCGAGCAAAAUGAAGAAAUCUAAGUCAGUAAGGAAAUCUAAGUAAUUGAUCGUAUUCAGGAAGAUGGUGAAAAACUAAAGGGAGGAAACGAGAUUCAAGUAAGGGAAAGAAAGAAAGAAGGAAAAUGAUAACCUUGGUUGGUCAUGGAUCACUUUGUAUUACUCCACGUGUUUUGGGCUUGCAAAAGUAUAGUGGUAGAAUGUAGAUAUACCAUCUGGCUUAGUGCUUAUUCAAAUCAUGGAUUGGUCUAUGAGAUUCUGGCAACAUUAUGAUUAGAAGGUGACUGGGUUGACUUACCAAUUUGUUGCACACAAUUUUGUUGAUUUUUAAUAUAUGCUUCUCUAAGUAAUCAGAUAAUAUAAUGCUUCUACUGGCAGCUUCAUUUGGCCAUACCCAGAUGUUCUUAAUUCAAACUAAGGCGCCAAUACCCAUAUAUCCUUGGUUAUACCAUUCCUUGUUAUUGAGUUGCCUGUUCUCCUCUUCUCUGCUGUUUGUUACACUAGUAUUUUAUUUUUCAUUUGUCUAAGAAAAACAGCAAAAUUGGAUUUCGUUGUAUUUUAACAUUUUGUGAAUUUCAGUUGUCUUUCAAAUUUCAGUGCAUUUCAGAUUAAUUCCAUCACUACCCCUCUCUUUAUUCUGUCACCAUCCUUCCCUUCACCUUGGUUCUUGUAGCUUUCUUGUUUUAAAGGUAUGCACAUUUGAGGAAACUGAAAUGAUUUUUCUAGUUUUCUAGCAAAGGUAAGAUGCAUGAAGAAAGGAACAGGCAGGUAGUAGUGACACAAAGGAAUGAAAAUGUACUUCAUUAAUGGCAUUGAUAAGGGUCUGAACUUCAGCCCCACU
This 3176-nucleotide unclassified non-coding RNA is filed under the name Hevea brasiliensis (rubber tree). The record is from RNAcentral. Lineage: Eukaryota; Viridiplantae; Streptophyta; Magnoliopsida; Malpighiales; Euphorbiaceae.